UGCAGUCGAGCGAAUGGAUUAAGAGCUUGCUCUUAUGAAGUUAGCGGCGGACGGGUGAGUAACACGUGGGUAACCUGCCCAUAAGACUGGGAUAACUCCGGGAAACCGGGGCUAAUACCGGAUAACAUUUUGAACCGCAUGGUUCGAAAUUGAAAGGCGGCUUCGGCUGUCACUUAUGGAUGGACCCGCGUCGCAUUAGCUAGUUGGUGAGGUAACGGCUCACCAAGGCAACGAUGCGUAGCCGACCUGAGAGGGUGAUCGGCCACACUGGGACUGAGACACGGCCCAGACUCCUACGGGAGGCAGCAGUAGGGAAUCUUCCGCAAUGGACGAAAGUCUGACGGAGCAACGCCGCGUGAGUGAUGAAGGCUUUCGGGUCGUAAAACUCUGUUGUUAGGGAAGAACAAGUGCUAGUUGAAUAAGCUGGCACCUUGACGGUACCUAACCAGAAAGCCACGGCUAACUACGUGCCAGCAGCCGCGGUAAUACGUAGGUGGCAAGCGUUAUCCGGAAUUAUUGGGCGUAAAGCGCGCGCAGGUGGUUUCUUAAGUCUGAUGUGAAAGCCCACGGCUCAACCGUGGAGGGUCAUUGGAAACUGGGAGACUUGAGUGCAGAAGAGGAAAGUGGAAUUCCAUGUGUAGCGGUGAAAUGCGUAGAGAUAUGGAGGAACACCAGUGGCGAAGGCGACUUUCUGGUCUGUAACUGACACUGAGGCGCGAAAGCG
RNAcentral lists this ribosomal RNA (724 nucleotides) under Bacillus cereus. Its description in RNAcentral is "bacterial SSU rRNA". It matches the Rfam family "Bacterial small subunit ribosomal RNA", at positions 56 to 761 of the family's 1533-position model. The record is from RNAcentral. Lineage: Bacteria; Bacillati; Bacillota; Bacilli; Caryophanales; Bacillaceae.